This 1982-nucleotide long non-coding RNA is filed under the name Malus domestica (apple). Its description in RNAcentral is "long non-coding RNA (MDOM_LNC008540)". The record is from RNAcentral. Lineage: Eukaryota; Viridiplantae; Streptophyta; Magnoliopsida; Rosales; Rosaceae.
AGAUUAGUUUAACAUGUAAAAUGUCCGUAAAGUAUCAUCAUAUGAUUGGCUUUAGGGCACAUUUCCAACAAUUUCCAACAAUCUCCCACUUGCACUAAAGUCAAUCAGUAGUGUAUCUUAUACAUGCUAGUUGAGAGAGCUUAUGCUUGUAGGUUAACUCGGUUAUGUAUUAAUCCCUUUUAUUAUUUAAAAGGGAUUUACUUAUCAAAUGUUUCCAAAACAUUUGAUGAUGUCUCUUUCUUGUGUUCGAAUGCUUUGAUGAGACCUUGAUUCCAUGGCUUGAGCUAUCGCCCCAUUACGUCGUAGUAUCCUACUAACGACCUUAUGGUUUGGAUUCAAUCAUUGGUUCUAUAAGAACCCCUUCAUUCAAAACACCUUUUUGAAGCAGUUUCUAAAACAAUAUAUCGUCAUAUAUUUCGUUUGUAUACUUUAUACAAACUUUGCUCCAACCUUGAGACCAUUGUAGUACAAUACUAACAAUUCAUUCAUAUGAUUAGUACUUCAUCCAUUAUGAAGUUCCAUUUGUUAAAAUGGCUUAUUUUCACUUUGGUUAACAACCUAAGUGAAUGCACGCUUCCAGAGUCCCACUCUGAUGUUUCUUUCUUUAAAGGCAAUAAUACUCUUUCAGUUGCUUUGGUUCUGAUCUUGGGAUUUAGUAAUAUCUUAUAGUGACAACCCUUGUGGUUCUUCACUUUUGGAUAUCUACUUCACAAGUCCAUACAUGUGUCCCUUUUUGUGAUUUUGUGACACAUUCAUUAUAAGGGUUAUGAAAGUGAUUUCCUAUCACAUAGGAAAAUGCUUUCUUAAAUCUACAACAUUUGAGAUUUAAUUUCCCUAUUUAAUAUCCUUGAGAUAGCCUUGCUAUAUCAAUAAGUCCAAUUUCAAGUCUAUACUUCAAAAUUGACCGUGUCAUGUUUUGUCAUUUCUCGAGUAACAUCUAUGUUUUAUCAAGUCUAUCAAAUAGACUUUAUUCACAUCUUUUUGCUCAAAUUAUGACAUCACUCCCACUGGCCUUGUUGUAACUUAGCAUUCAUUCAAAAAUAACAAUUAUAUUUUCUUGAUUUGAAUGCAUAUUGCUGCCACUUAACUUAAAUGAAUCAUACACAAAAGAAUUCCUUCUCAAGUAAUUCCAUUUGAAAUGUGUGACUUGUUUCAUUAAGUCUAUUCAUUUAAAUUAUAUGGUGUCAUACACCAUACUUCAAGUUUUAGUCAAACUAAGACCUUUAAUGUAGUCAUAUAAGAAUUAUCCAAGUCUUUAGUGGAAGCAUGGCUCCUACUAAGGAUAUAGAAACUCAACCAUUCCUUCUAGGUGGUUGAUAUAAUUCUUUAUCAAAACUACAUAGAGCGUUAUAGUUACAUGAGAUGUUGAAUUUGGAUUGUCUUGUUGUUAAACCAUAUGUUGUGACUCAUUUUGAAACUAUUUCCCUUUUGUUUCAUCAACUUGUCCAUAUGCUUAGUUAUUUAGCUUGUUCUCAUAAAAGAGAAUGAUGGACAACUCCCAACAUAUAACCAUUUUAUGCUAGGUUGACGAAACCAACAUUCAAAGACUAUUCUUUAGAAUGUCACACAACAUAGAAUUUUAACGUUUGAAGAGCUUGAGUCCUUUUAACAAUUAAAAUUACAAACUUUUAAUAAUAGUCAAGUACUAUUAUUCUUUAGACAACUAUAAACCAAUCACAUUCAAGUUUAUAUCCAUUUUCACACCUCCCACUAUUUCUCAUGACUUUAAUGAGAAAUCAUUUCAUACAUUCAAAAUGUAUAAAAGUGGAGUAUAUUGGAAGAAGACAUUGUGUAGUAGCUUUAAAACAUUUCAAGCUUAUUUGUUUCAAUCUUCACUAAGUUAAUGUCUUUGUUAUUAAGUGACUAAAGUCUUUAAACAUUUUAUAGAUUUAGACACUUCUUUCUUGGUUUAAUCACUAAUACAAUUGACAUUUUAAAACCUUUUAAAGAAUGCCCAAUUAGUUGUUCAAAACUACUAAUUG